AUUGAUUUCUACACCGAUUACUUCAUCUCUCUUCACAAACAACGGAGUGCAAACGCGAUGUACUGAAAAGCAUAUCAGCUCAGCACUCAUGUUCAGCCUUCAUGUUAUCACUUUACCAAUAAACAGGAACAGCGGCCGACAUCUAACAGCAGGAAGCUGAACAACAAGGAGUUGAGAUGAGAGGAAGAGCUGCCUUCUUUUUGUGUACAUUUAAGAUGUGGCUGAUACGUUCUCUCCGUUCUGGAUGCGGAUCGUUUAAUGUCUGGGUUGUUCCUUCCAUCGGUUCUGCUUUAAUGGACUCUGAAAUUCCAUCAGUAAAGCUGUCCUUCCCCA
RNAcentral lists this long non-coding RNA (333 nucleotides) under Danio rerio (zebrafish). RNAcentral's name for it is "lncRNA (ENSDARG00000117333.1)". The record is from RNAcentral. Lineage: Eukaryota; Metazoa; Chordata; Actinopteri; Cypriniformes; Danionidae.